GAGUUUGAUCUUGGCUCAGAUUGAACGCUGGCGGCAUGCCUUACACAUGCAAGUCGAACGGCAGCACGGGAGCUUGCUCCUGGUGGCGAGUGGCGAACGGGUGAGUAAUGCAUCGGAACGUAUCCUGGAGUGGGGGAUAACGUAGCGAAAGUUACGCUAAUACCGCAUAUUCUGUGAGCAGGAAAGCGGGGGACCUUCGGGCCUCGCGCUCUUGGAGCGGCCGAUGUCGGAUUAGCUAGUUGGUGAGGUAAAGGCUCACCAAGGCGACGAUCCGUAGCAGGUCUGAGAGGAUGAUCUGCCACACUGGAACUGAGACACGGUCCAGACUCCUACGGGAGGCAGCAGUGGGGAAUUUUGGACAAUGGGGGCAACCCUGAUCCAGCCAUGCCGCGUGAGUGAGAAGGCC
This 406-nucleotide ribosomal RNA is filed under the name bacterium enrichment culture clone ALO1_GLFRUDD03HBR5B. RNAcentral's name for it is "bacterial SSU rRNA". It matches the Rfam family "Bacterial small subunit ribosomal RNA", at positions 9 to 416 of the family's 1533-position model. The record is from RNAcentral.